CGAGUUUUGGUGGGAUGCAUCUGUGAUAGUGUGUGACGAGUUUUUAAGUGGUUCGUGCUUUGGUUUGGACGAUCGCCGGAGCCACCAUUAGGAAAACAAAAAAGUGUCAAUGUCCAAGUGUAAAUAUUUAAUAUUAAUUAAUUAUCGUUAGUUAGAAAACAAAACGCAAUGUAUAUUGCCGGGUGUGUACAGAGGACAUUGGUAGCUUUCUUCCUUUUGGCCGUGACGUCACCGUCGGCGACGCAGAACACCAUCAUAUCAGGAAGCCCGGCGUCUGGCGUGACGGGCGCGGUGACGCGCGUGUCGGCGGUGGUGAACGGGGACGUGGAGCUGCCC
This is a long non-coding RNA of Ostrinia nubilalis (European corn borer), 336 nucleotides long. RefSeq lists it as uncharacterized. The transcript is spliced from 3 exons. The record is from RefSeq and is a predicted model, not a curated record. Lineage: Eukaryota; Metazoa; Arthropoda; Insecta; Lepidoptera; Crambidae.